UUAAAGGUGCCUUUGACAUUUACUUUCUCCCAGGAGCUUGGAGAGCCAGCAUAAUAGUGCCAGACAAACAUCCCCACAUCAUCAGCUGAGUCAUUCUGUGUUGUGACUCCCUCUGACCUCAUAAGGUUUGGGUUCCUGAAAUGUGCUAGUCACUCUGUGAGGGAGGAAAACAGGCACAGGCUUCCAGAACAAUAUAGUCCUUGGAGAAGGAAAUGUUUUUAUAAAAUGUUACCAGCUGAACGGCGGCACCAAAAUAGAGCAAUGACAGAGCAUUUGUUCAUCUGAGGAUUCAGCGGAGGAGGCACCACGAGCGGAGCAAGCUACGGCAGCCUGACAGCUUGGAUUGUCACACCAGCAGAGCUCAAGCCUUCAUCAUUUUUAUCCUUUGAGCACAUAAUUGGAUCUACCUAUUAAAAUGAUAUCUAAUGAAAUCAAACUUUUCAUACUAAUUGUGUAAAAGAAUGAAGAAAUAGCAUAUGACUAAGGAACAUUGAUUUCUGUCUUGUUACUCAAUUACUUAUCCACCCAGAAAACUGCCAUUCUAACAAUGCUUAAAUGCAUUUCUACUGGUACAGAAAGGACUUCACAGGGACAAGAGUAAGUUUAAUAAAGGGGGAGGACAGAAGUGAGAAACAGAAUCCGGGGAGCACAGCUGGAAAGUUCUCUCUUAAAAUAUUAAGCUAACAGCUAGCCUGUUGUUUUGUGGUUUUUUUAGUUACCAGGGUGUUGUAUCUUUUCUAAAAAGAGCCCCAAAUCAAAAUCACAGCCCAUGAUCCCUCCAUUGGUGUUCAUCCAAUUAAACAACUCUAUCAUAGACUAGUUCUUGUUCUUUUAAAGACUAGAUUUCUCUCUCAAGGUAUGCAUGUGUGUAUGCAUAUUUGAUUCUUCCAAAAUUUGGGGGGGGUUCUUUUGUAAAAACACAUCAUAAUUCAGCUAUCUUUUACUGCUUCAAGAUUGCUGAGGUUUGUACUUUGAAAAUAUAAUAGUUCUUGUAAUAAUUUCCUGUUAUUCCUUUAGGGAGCUGAAAAUCAACUAAUCUGACUCCAUGCUUAUCUUUAAAGGUCCAACCUCUAUCUAUUAUGUGUCAGCUAAAAUGGAGCAAACGUUUUGUGUAUGUGUGCAUGGGAAGGGAAAAAAUAUAAAUAAACAGAAGGGAGAAACUCUAGGAUGUGUUGUAGUUCCUCUUUCCUUAUCAUGAAGCAAAAAUGGCAAAAAUAGGAGCAUUGUUGCUAUGCAUCUCAUGGUCCUUGCUCAUGUCCCCAUGGUAACUAGCAGAAGUCAUUUGCAUUCUGCAGGAGCAUCAGGGAGAUGCAUGUGUGCAGCACUUCAGAGGGGUGCAUGGUCCAAAGGGCAGGGCAAAUAUGGCCAGCUUUGCAAAAGCACUCAAAGGCCACCUGCAGGAAGCUAACAGAAGUCCUAUUAAUAUGUAAACCUUGCCAAAACAAAAUUUUAUUUUAAGGUUAGUUUGAACGUUCAGUAAGGGGAAAAGCUCUGGAAGUUUGUGGUGGUCCAACAUACAGUUCAUGAUGCAGGCCCUCAAAUGUCAUCAGGAAGAAAAACUCUUCUGAAAGUGGAGAUGCAGAUUUGCUUCAACUUUACAUUUGGUCCUCAUUUUACUGCAUUAAGAAGUUUAAUUGAUGUUUUCUUUCACUAUUGCCUGCCUGUUUUCCUCCUGCCAAAAAUGUCCUUCCCUCUGUUAUGGAUUUUCAAGAUUUAUAAAUAUUUUUAUCUAUAUUAUGUAUAAUUAUAUUUUGUGAUAAAUAUGAUAUGUGCUUUAAAUAUCUAAGUAAUAAUUAUGAUAUAUUUAUAGAAGUAUGUCAGUAUAUACUAUAAAUAUUAUGUUCUUAUUAAUAUAUUUCUUUAGAAAAUGUCUGCUUUUAGAGGAAAUGUCACUGAAAACUUUUAUCUAUAUGUGUGUUGGUUUAUAAAGUUUUCAUAGCAGGAGUGCUACUGAAGUGGGUUCUCUAAGAAGCUGCCAGAUGCUUCCCCUGUGUCCAGCAAAGCCACUGCCAGCCAGCUCCAAGACAGAGCUGGUGUUGGCCAAGCCCAUCAGCGAUGGUAGGAGCAGCUCUGGGUAAUGUCGGAAUCCAGAACAUCCCUCUGGGUGCCCUGGAUGGCCAGAGCCGCUGGCAGGGGGCUC
Long non-coding RNA from Motacilla alba alba, 2140 nucleotides. RefSeq lists it as uncharacterized. The transcript is spliced from 3 exons. The record is from RefSeq and is a predicted model, not a curated record. NCBI's taxonomy places the organism in Eukaryota, Metazoa, Chordata, Aves, Passeriformes, Motacillidae.